AACGCGAAGAACCUUACCUGGGCUCGAACGGCUUCUCAACGCCGGUGGAAACAUCGGUAUCCCGCAAGGGAGUGGAGUCGAGGUGCUGCAUGGCUGUCGUCAGCUCGUGUCGUGAGAUGUUGGGUUAAGUCCCGCAACGAGCGCAACCCUUGUCCUGUGUUGCCAUGCCCGAAAGGGCGGAACUCGCAGGAGACCGCCAGCGAUAAGCUGGAGGAAGGUGGGGAUGACGUCAAGUCCUCAUGGCCUUUAUGUCCAGGGCUACACACGUGCUACAAUGGACGGUACAAUACGUCGCUAACCCGCGAGGGGGAGCCAAUCGCAAAAAACCGUUCUCAGUUCGGAUUGCAGGCUGCAACUCGCCUGCAUGAAGCUGGAAUCGCUAGUAAUGGCAGAUCAGCACGCUGCCGUGAAUACGUUCCCGGGCCUUGUA
Molecule: ribosomal RNA, 430 nt
Filed under: uncultured Acidobacterium sp.
Lineage: Bacteria; Pseudomonadati; Acidobacteriota; Terriglobia; Terriglobales; Acidobacteriaceae
Description: bacterial SSU rRNA
Rfam family: Bacterial small subunit ribosomal RNA
Source: RNAcentral